RNAcentral lists this long non-coding RNA (209 nucleotides) under Olea europaea (common olive). Its description in RNAcentral is "long non-coding RNA (OEUR_LNC011485)". Lineage: Eukaryota; Viridiplantae; Streptophyta; Magnoliopsida; Lamiales; Oleaceae. The record is from RNAcentral.
AAUUCUAAUAGUUCCUCCCUCUGCGAAGUCCGCCCUGAAGACUCUUUGUGAAACACGAUGUCCUCUUCUGAGUCAUUGAUCCAAUAAUCUUCUUCCAAGUCAUCAAUCCAAUCAUCUUCACAAUCUAACUGUUCAGGCAGGACCACCACUAACGCUGAUUCAUCCUUUAAACUUGGAUUAAAUUUCUUUUCUUGAGCCUUCUCAAUUGU